UCCCCGAUAGCUCAAUCGGCAGAGCGGUUGACUGUUAAUCAAUAGGUUGCUGGUUCAAGUCCAGCUCGGGGAG
Molecule: transfer RNA, 73 nt
Organism: Denitrovibrio acetiphilus DSM 12809
Lineage: Bacteria; Pseudomonadati; Deferribacterota; Deferribacteres; Deferribacterales; Geovibrionaceae
Rfam family: tRNA
About the family: Transfer RNA (tRNA) molecules are approximately 80 nucleotides in length. Their secondary structure includes four short double-helical elements and three loops (D, anti-codon, and T loops).
Source: Rfam